This 481-nucleotide ribosomal RNA is filed under the name uncultured bacterium. RNAcentral describes it as "partial 16S ribosomal RNA". It matches the Rfam family "Bacterial small subunit ribosomal RNA", at positions 28 to 507 of the family's 1533-position model. The record is from RNAcentral.
GAUGAACGCUGGCGGCGUGCUUAACACAUGCAAGUCGAACGAAGCAUUUAAGACAGAUUACUUCGGUUUGAAGUCUUUUAUGACUGAGUGGCGGACGGGUGAGUAACGCGUGGGUAACCUGCCUCAUACAGGGGGAUAGCAGCUGGAAACGGCUGGUAAUACCGCAUAAGCGCACAGUACCACAUGGUACAGUGUGAAAAACUCCGGUGGUAUGAGAUGGACCCGCGCCUGAUUAGCUUGUUGGCGGGGUAACGGCCCACCAAGGCGACGAUCAGUAGCCGACCUGAGAGGGUGACCGGCCACAUUGGGACUGAGACACGGCCCAGACUCCUACGGGAGGCAGCAGUGGGGAAUAUUGCACAAUGGAGGAAACUCUGAUGCAGCGACGCCGCGUGAGUGAAGAAGUAGUUCGCUAUGUAAAGCUCUAUCAGCAGGGAAGAUAGUGACGGUACCUGACUAAGAAGCUCCGGCUAAAUACGUG